Molecule: long non-coding RNA, 565 nt
Filed under: Crocodylus porosus (Australian saltwater crocodile)
Lineage: Eukaryota; Metazoa; Chordata; Crocodylia; Crocodylidae
Description: lncRNA (ENSCPRG00005011971.1)
Source: RNAcentral
UUUGUUUUACCCAAGACACGCUUUAAAGGGAAUUUCCACAGUAUGAAUCAUAAACUACUUUUCCUGGCACUUAUGACACAGUUAUUAGCCAUAAUGAAACAAAACCACUUCUUAGCUUAUCCAUUGUCUCAGCUAUCCAGACUACUUGCUCAGACUCCAGACUUACCAUUUUCAAAUCCAGUUUCCAGAUUUUGGAACAACAAGGAAGUUUUUUUACCUCCCUGCCUGCCAUCUGAUACCUCCAGGGAAGGAAUUGUACUUGAUCAACACAUCAAAGAGCUACUCAACACAGCUCACACACUGUCAUGGACCCAGAGGGACAGCCUUCCAUCUUCAGCUUCCUCUGUGAAAAAUGAAGUUUAUUUCCUACCUGUGGGGACUUUUUACCAUCUUAUACCAUCUACACUUUCCCCAGAGCCUGGUGAAGGGACUUUGAUCCCAAAAGCUUGCAGAAAAGGACAACUUGCCACUUUCCAGUUGGUCUAAUAAAAGGUAUCAUUUUCAAACCAAGAGUUCUAGUUUUUUGUAUGCCUAGGUUGACCCCUGGCUUUCCAAUUUGAAAAGU